CAGUCGCCGCGGUAAUACGGAGGGAGCUAGCGUUGUUCGGAAUUACUGGGCGUAAAGCGCACGUAGGCGGAUCAGAAAGUCAGAGGUGAAAUCCCAGGGCUCAACCUUGGAACUGCCUUUGAAACUCCUGAUCUUGAGGUCGAGAGAGGUGAGUGGAAUUCCGAGUGUAGAGGUGAAAUUCGUAGAUAUUGGGAAGAACACCGGUGGCGAAGGCGGCGACCUGGUCCUUGACUGACGCUGAGGCGCGAAAGCGUGGGGAGCAAACAGGAUUAGAUACCCCGGUAGUCCCUGUCUCUUAUAC
This 301-nucleotide ribosomal RNA is filed under the name uncultured bacterium. Its description in RNAcentral is "partial 16S ribosomal RNA". It matches the Rfam family "Bacterial small subunit ribosomal RNA", at positions 509 to 807 of the family's 1533-position model. The record is from RNAcentral.